CCUGGGAGAUCAGCUGGCCCUGCUCUGAAAAUGACUUGGGCCUUACGGUGUCCUGAGCCGGCCGGGUUGUAGGGGUUGGAGCGCUGCGUGAAGAGAAAACUAAAAUUAUAGAGUGGAAGAAGAAGCACCCUAAGCAGCAAGAAUACUUUCUGAGAGGAAACACUUCUGAUCUGAGACCUCUUGCAACAAAUCAAACUGUGUUCUCGACACUUUAUCCAGAAAUGGAGACCAUGACCCAGUUACAGGUGAGUUAC
Leptonychotes weddellii (Weddell seal) is the source of this 254-nucleotide non-coding RNA. Lineage: Eukaryota; Metazoa; Chordata; Mammalia; Carnivora; Phocidae. The record is from RefSeq and is a predicted model, not a curated record.